Molecule: ribosomal RNA, 470 nt
Filed under: Klebsiella pneumoniae
Lineage: Bacteria; Pseudomonadati; Pseudomonadota; Gammaproteobacteria; Enterobacterales; Enterobacteriaceae
Description: bacterial LSU rRNA
Rfam family: Bacterial large subunit ribosomal RNA
Source: RNAcentral
UUCCUGUACUUGGUGUUACUGCGAAGGGGGACGGAGAAGGCUAUGUUAGCCGGGCGACGGUUGUCCCGGUUUAAGCAUGUAGGCUGGUUAUCCAGGCAAAUCCGGAUAAUCAAGGCUGAGGUGUGAUGACGAGGCACUACGGUGCUGAAGUAACAAAUGCCCUGCUUCCAGGAAAAGCCUCUAAGCAUCAGGUAACAUCAAAUCGUACCCCAAACCGACACAGGUGGUCAGGUAGAGAAUACCAAGCGCUUGAGAGAACUCGGGUGAAGGAACUAGGCAAAAUGGUGCCGUAACUUCGGGAGAAGGCACGCUGGUGUGUAGGUGAAGCCCCUGCGGGUGGAGCUGAGACCAGUCGAAGAUACCAGCUGGCUGCAACUGUUUAUUAAAAACACAGCACUGUGCAAACACGAAAGUGGACGUAUACGGUGUGACGCCUGCCCGUGCCGGAAGGUUAAUUGAUGGGGUUAUCC